This 380-nucleotide ribosomal RNA is filed under the name uncultured eukaryote. RNAcentral's name for it is "partial 18S ribosomal RNA". It matches the Rfam family "Eukaryotic small subunit ribosomal RNA", at positions 592 to 976 of the family's 1831-position model. The record is from RNAcentral.
CAAUAGCGUAUAUUAAAGUUGUUGCGGUUAAAAAGCUCGUAGUUGGAUUUCUGCUGAGAACGACCGGUCCGCCCUCUGGGUGUGUAUCUGGCUCUUUCUUGGCAUCUUCUUGGUGAACGUUGCUGCACUUAACUGUGUGGAGCGCUACCCAGGACUUUUACUUUGAGGAAAUUAGAGUGUUUCAAGCAGGCAUACGCCUUGAAUACAUUAGCAUGGAAUAAUAAGAUAAGACCUCGGUUCUAUUUUGUUGGUUUCUAGAGCUGAGGUAAUGAUUAAUAGGGAUAGUUGGGGGCAUUCGUAUUUAACUGUCAGAGGUGAAAUUCUUGGAUUUGUUAAAGACGAACUACUGCGAAAGCAUUUGCCAAGGAUGUUUUCAUUGA